CGAAAGCCUGAUGCAGCAACGCCGCGUGCACGAUGAAGGCCUUCGGGUCGUGAAGUACUUUCGGGGAGAUGAGGAAGGACAGUAUCCCCGGAAUAAGGAUCGGCUAACUACGUGCCAGCAGCCGCGGUAAAACGUAGGAUCCGAGCGUUAUCCGAAUUUACUGGGCGUAAAGCGCGUGCAGGCGGUUCGAUAAGUUGGAUGUGAAAUCUCCUGGCUCAACUGGGAGAGGUCGUUCAAUACUGUCGGGCUAGAGGAUGGUAGAGGGAGGUGGAAUUCCCGGUGUAGUGGUGAAAUGCGUAGAUAUCGGGAGGAACACCAGUGGCGAAAGCGGCCUCCUGGGCCAUUCCUGACGCUAAGACGCGAAAGCUAGGGUAGCGAACGGGAUUAGAAACCCCGGUAGUCCUAGCAGUAAACGAUGUGGACUUGGCGUUGGUGGGGUAAAAAUCCAUCAGUGCCGUAGCUAACGCGGUAAGUCCACCGCCUGGGGAUUACGACCGCAAGGUUA
RNAcentral lists this ribosomal RNA (505 nucleotides) under uncultured Chloroflexota bacterium. RNAcentral's name for it is "bacterial SSU rRNA". It matches the Rfam family "Bacterial small subunit ribosomal RNA", at positions 376 to 896 of the family's 1533-position model. The record is from RNAcentral. Lineage: Bacteria; Bacillati; Chloroflexota.